GACGAACGCUGGCGGCGUGCCUAACACAUGCGAGUCGAACGGAAAGGCCCUGCUUUUGUGGGGUGCUCGAGUGGCGAACGGGUGAGUAACACGUGAGUAACCUGCCCUUGACUUUGGGAUAACUUCAGGAAACUGGGGCUAAUACCGGAUAGGAGCUCCUGCUGCAUGGUGGGGGUUGGAAAGUUUCGGCGGUUGGGGAUGGACUCGCGGCUUAUCAGCUUGUUGGUGGGGUAGUGGCUUACCAAGGCUUUGACGGGUAGCCGGCCUGAGAGGGUGACCGGCCACAUUGGGACUGAGAUACGGCCCAGACUCCUACGGGAGGCAGCAGUGGGGAAUAUUGCACAAUGGGCGGAAGCCUGAUGCAGCAACGCCGCGUGCGGGAUGACGGCCUUCGGGUUGUAAACCGCUUUCGCCUGUGACGAAGCGUGAGUGACGGUAAUGGGUAAAGAAGCACCGGCUAACUACGU
This 467-nucleotide ribosomal RNA is filed under the name uncultured bacterium. RNAcentral describes it as "partial 16S ribosomal RNA". It matches the Rfam family "Bacterial small subunit ribosomal RNA", at positions 28 to 506 of the family's 1533-position model. The record is from RNAcentral.